GUGGCGGAUAGGAACCAGUUAGUGCUUGUGCGUUGAUUGGGCCGAAAACCGCCAACACUAUAUGUUCACACUAAAGGUCGUAUGUGUCCUCUCCUCUGAGACACGUAUAUCACCAUUGUGCACGACGUUC
RNAcentral lists this small nucleolar RNA (130 nucleotides) under Ancylostoma ceylanicum. RNAcentral's name for it is "Nematode snoRNA ceN39". It matches the Rfam family "Nematode snoRNA ceN39". The record is from Rfam by way of RNAcentral. Lineage: Eukaryota; Metazoa; Nematoda; Chromadorea; Rhabditida; Ancylostomatidae.